This is a long non-coding RNA of Phyllopteryx taeniolatus (common seadragon), 766 nucleotides long. RefSeq lists it as uncharacterized. The transcript is spliced from 4 exons. NCBI's taxonomy places the organism in Eukaryota, Metazoa, Chordata, Actinopteri, Syngnathiformes, Syngnathidae. The record is from RefSeq and is a predicted model, not a curated record.
AUGGGUUUCAUCGUGGUCUCUAAACCAAUCAGUGAUAGCGAAGAGCAGGGACCCUCCAACUGACUGCGUGUCUGUGUGCGCGCGUAUGAAAUGCGGGCGCUAGCGUACACGAAGCUACGUUUUCUGACAGCGAGCCGGUAGCUGCAGUUACAGAAAAUCGAGCGGCAUAAAUGGAAUUAGUUCCAAAGCCAAAAGCCACCGCGACGAUUUGGGAACAUUUUGGAUUCAAGCCACAUGAACGACCAACGAGCCGAACCCACUGGCUAGCGUCACCACAGAUGAAUCCAGGUUUCAUUCAAAUGGGCAGGUUCCGUCUCUGCCCUGAGGAACGUCAACGCCGGCUGAGGGAAGGGCGGUCCUUCUACUGCAGGCAGUUGGGUCAUUCCGUCAGCCAAUGUCACAUCAAAGUUGCCGGUGCCGGUAACAAGGGCAUGGAAGCGGUCAGUCUUUGACUACGACCUACUACGGUACCAACAGACCACGGGUGCCCCUAAAUCCGUGGGUGAUGGAAUUUUGCAGCGUUAAAUCCAACUGUUAACUUAUUUGUCCGGGUAAUGUCAGUGGAAAUUCACUUCUCGGGUCACAUUCACUGCAAGCAGACACCGGCGAAGCCGAACAGGAGAUGGAGGCCAAUUAGAGAUAAAGGGAAAACAGAUGGCGACCAGCGAAACGCAAAAGGCAAAGGAAACAAACAAUAUCUGCGACAGAAGGUCGGCAGCCGGCCGCUUAAGUCAAACGCUGCAGCCACCACACGUCUGCCGACAUG